CCCUUAGAUGUUCUGGGCUGCACGCGCGCUACACUGAAGCUAUCAACACGUUUUCCCUCCCUGAGAAGGGCGGGUAACCUUUUGAAUCAGCUUCGUGGUAGGGAUCGGGGCUUGCAAUUGUUCCCCGUGAACCAGGAAUUCCUAGUAGACGCGAGUCAUAAGCUCGCAUCGAUUAAGUCCCUGCCCUUUGUACACACCGCCCGUCGCUACUACCGAUUGAACGUUUUAGUGAGGCAUUUGGACCGACGCAUCUCAGUUUAACCGCUGGUUUGUUUUGGAAAGACUUCCAAACUUGAGCGUUUAGAGGAAGUAAAAGUCGUAACA
Molecule: ribosomal RNA, 324 nt
Filed under: uncultured eukaryote
Lineage: Eukaryota
Description: partial 18S ribosomal RNA
Rfam family: Eukaryotic small subunit ribosomal RNA
Source: RNAcentral